RNAcentral lists this ribosomal RNA (524 nucleotides) under uncultured bacterium. Its description in RNAcentral is "partial 16S ribosomal RNA". It matches the Rfam family "Bacterial small subunit ribosomal RNA", at positions 28 to 523 of the family's 1533-position model. The record is from RNAcentral.
GACGAACGCUGGCGGCGUGCCUAAUACAUGCAAGUCGAGCGCAGGAAACUGACGGAACUCUUCGGAGGGAAGGCAGUGGAAUGAGCGGCGGACGGGUGAGUAACACGUAAGGAACCUGCCUCAAGGAUUGGGAUAACUCCGAGAAAUCGGAGCUAAUACCGGAUAGUUCAACGGACCGCAUGGUCCGCUGAUGAAAGGCGCUUCGGCGUCACCUUGAGAUGGCCUUGCGGUGCAUUAGCUAGUUGGUGGGGUAACGGCCCACCAAGGCGACGAUGCAUAGCCGACCUGAGAGGGUGAUCGGCCACACUGGGACUGCGACACGGCCCAGACUCCUACGGGAGGCAGCAGUAGGGAAUCUUCCACAAUGGACGAAAGUCUGAUGGAGCAACGCCGCGUGAGUGAUGAAGGUUUUCGGAUCGUAAAACUCUGUUGUAAGGGAAGAACACGUACGAGAGGAGAUGCUCGUACCUUGACGGUACCUUACGAGAAAGCCACGGCUAACUACGUGCCAGCCGCCGCAGUAA